This 447-nucleotide ribosomal RNA is filed under the name uncultured bacterium. RNAcentral describes it as "SSU rRNA". It matches the Rfam family "Bacterial small subunit ribosomal RNA", at positions 26 to 518 of the family's 1533-position model. The record is from RNAcentral.
AGAGCGAGCGCUGGCGGCAGGCUUAACACAUGCAAGUCGAGCGGAUGUAGCAAUACAUCAGCGGCAGACGGGUGAGUAACACGUGGGAACGUACCUUUUGGUUCGGAACAACACAGGGAAACUUGUGCUAAUACCGGAUAAGCCCUUACGGGGAAAGAUUUAUCGCCGAAAGAUCGGCCCGCGUCUGAUUAGCUAGUUGGUGAGGUAAUGGCUCACCAAGGCGACGAUCAGUAGCUGGUCUGAGAGGAUGAUCAGCCACAUUGGGACUGAGACACGGCCCAAACUCCUACGGGAGGCAGCAGUGGGGAAUAUUGGACAAUGGGCGCAAGCCUGAUCCAGCCAUGCCGCGUGAGUGAUGAAGGCCCUAGGGUUGUAAAGCUCUUUUGUGCGGGAAGAUAAUGACGGUACGCAAGAAUAAGCCCCGGCUAACUUCGCGCCAGCAGCCGC